Rhipicephalus sanguineus (brown dog tick) is the source of this 801-nucleotide long non-coding RNA. RefSeq lists it as uncharacterized. The record is from RefSeq and is a predicted model, not a curated record. NCBI's taxonomy places the organism in Eukaryota, Metazoa, Arthropoda, Arachnida, Ixodida, Ixodidae. The transcript is spliced from 2 exons.
AUUCUUCAGGCCUGCGCCCUCCGCCGUGACGUCACCACCGGCCGUCCUACCGGUCCAACACCUUCUGACCGGUCCCGUCAUGCAUUCCCGAAUUCCCUCUCGCUUCAGUGGUGACGGCCGGGCUGCACGUGUGUUUUUCGCGAGUCUGCCGAGCCAUUUUCUUUGCGUUGUGUUUGCAGUGAAUUUUGCAUCCGGAAUUUUAUUGCACGAAGCUUCUGACAUGCCCAACAAGUGUUGUGUGCCGGCAUGUUCAAGUAAUUACAAGACGGGGAAGAAAGUUCAAGUAUUUUCAUUCCCCAAGGAUGAAGUGCAAAGGAAGAAGUGGCUCAGUGCUAUUCCAAGAAAGGAUUUCUUCCCGACGGAAAACAACAAGGUAUGCGCAUUGCAUUUCACCGAGUCAUGCCUCGAGAACAAGUCGUCCUACACGGAUCCUAUGACAGGAAGAGUGCUAGAGGUUUCACUGAAAGUACCGCGCCUGCGUUCAGGAUCAGUGCCCACACUGUUCCCAGGAUGUCCUUCGUACUUGUCGAAGGAUGACCCCUCUCCGAGAGAAUGCCCGGAAACGAAAAAAAUGCGCCGAGAAGCGGCUGACCUCGCUCGUGCCAUCGCAGAAUCGGAGGCUACUUAUCGCGAUGAAGAAGCGAAAUGUUGUUUUUCUCCGCUUCUUGAGCUUAUGGAAUGUUUGAAAAGCGCACCUGUGCCAAAUGAGUGGAUUGUAAUUCACCGCCCAAACUGUUCCCUGUUUUUAAAUAUUGUCGAUGAGAGCAUGCCGAUGUUGCGGUCGUCUGUUACUGUUUUCAG